CCUUGUCUUCCCACUAGGGUUUUCUCUUCCCAUAGUUCUGUGGGGCUAUAAAUCAUGGGUCACACCCUGUCUUCUACAGGGUGGGUACUUGACCAGAGCUGGACAGUCAGUCCUCCUCAAGAGUGUCCCACUAGAGCCAGCUCCAAAGCCGGAGUCUCCUCCAUUGGAAUCACCAAGCUUCUUUUUAAAUGGCCCCUAGUGGUCAUCCCUUUCGAAAGCAGAAGAAAAUGAGGCCAGUUCUCAAGGAGGAGACAAACGAGGGUACAAGAACCAGCCAUCAAAGACAGAAGGAAGGUGUCAACAGACUGAAGAAAGGCUGACAAAUCUAGGAUUGUACAAGGUGCCAUUUGUUAGGGACUUAGAGACAGAAGCACAUCUUGGGCCACAGCAAGGCAGGAAGAUCCGCAACCCCAAAGCAGGAGGAAAGGGUUCACAAAGGUAGGCCUUGACCAGAAUGUACCUGGGCUUUCUCUGUUUACAUGUCAAAAUGCAGUUAAGAAACUGUCCAACGACAUGCUCUACCUUGACAGUACUUAACUUAUCCUAAAGGGUCUGAAAAGCUCGAUACCAAGAUGACCGUAAUCACAUCAACCUGGAUCCCUGUAGCGAGCAAAACACACCAUUGUUGGCUUUGAAGAUGGAGGGGCUACAAACCAAGGAUCACAGACAGCUUCUGGAAGUGGAGAACACCUCCGGCUGUCAGUCAGUGAGGGAGCAGGAACCUCCAUCCUACAACCACAGGGAGAACCAGAAGCAGGUUCUUCCCCGAGUCUCCCAAAAACCCAGACUGAUGACAUCUUCAUUCUGGCCUUGUGAGACCCUAAGCAAAGGACUCAGGAGCCCAGCUGGAACUUCUGACCAACAGAAUUGUGGGGUAAUAAACUGUAUUUUUUGAGCUGUUAAA
Long non-coding RNA from Marmota flaviventris (yellow-bellied marmot), 904 nucleotides. RefSeq lists it as uncharacterized. Lineage: Eukaryota; Metazoa; Chordata; Mammalia; Rodentia; Sciuridae. The record is from RefSeq and is a predicted model, not a curated record.